UGUUUUUGUUCUAGCUUUAAUUCAUCCUAUAAUAUCAUUGCAUUAUUGUAUUUCUACUGAUUAAAGAAUUUUGCAUUUUGCAUUUUUCAAAAUGAUGCAAAGAAUAAAAUACAGCUUCAUUUUCUUUAAGAAAUUAUAAUUUUUUGCUACUUUUGAUUCUUCAAUGAUACAUGGACAAGCUUUUUUGACAUUCACUCUGAAAAUAUGUUUUUUCUUCUUUCUUCUUCAGAACGCUUCAGAGUAUGUGGAGAUCAGAGGAUAGGUGUAAGAAAAUAGGACACUCCACUCAGUAUCCGGCCGUUAUCUUUCCAUCUCUGUCUCUCCAUCUCUGUUUCUCUCUAUCUUUAUAAUCUCUCUCCUUAUCUCAUCCCUCGUUCCCAGUGUAACCGUAUUCUCCAUCUCUGCCGUCGGCUGCUUUUCACUCUCAGUAAUUGAGCUGAUGAUUAUGAUGAUGAUAUCUGAUGCGUAUCUUGACUUCGGGAUGCUAAAUCCAUCCUGUCAGUUCAUUUAGGAUUCACCGAGCUCACUGUUUCCGAUGCUGUCAAGGAGAGAAGCACGAAUAACUUAGGUUUGCAGGAUUCACGGAGCUCAAUAUAUCGAUGCUGUCGAAGAGCAAAGCACAUUUGCAGGAUGCAUGUGUCGUUCCACAUAAGACGAGGCACUCGUGCACACUUCAGAAGCAUUGUUUUCCUCCACUCUUUCUCUCUGGAUGUACAGAAACACAAUAAGUGAGUUAAUGAAUGUCUCUGUGCCGUCUGCUGCUCUCUCAGACAGAGUGAUAAAGUAGAGGAUGCUUCCAUUCAUUCAC
Long non-coding RNA from Megalobrama amblycephala (Wuchang bream), 808 nucleotides. RefSeq lists it as uncharacterized. Lineage: Eukaryota; Metazoa; Chordata; Actinopteri; Cypriniformes; Xenocyprididae. The transcript has 3 exons. The record is from RefSeq and is a predicted model, not a curated record.